CCUACGGGUGGCAGCAGUGGGGAAUAUUGGACAAUGGGCGAAAGCCUGAUCCAGCCAUGCCGCGUGUGUGAAGAAGGCCUUCGGGUUGUAAAGCACUUUCAGUGGGGAAGAAAGCCUUGGGGCUAAUACCCUCGAGGAAGGACAUCACCAACAGAAGAAGCACCGGCUAACUCCGUGCCAGCAGCCGCGGUAAUCCGGAGGGUGCGAGCGUUAAUCGGAAUUACUGGGCGUAAAGGGCGCGUAGGCGGUCUGAUAAGCCGGUUGUGAAAGCCCCGGGCUCAACCUGGGAACGGCAUCCGGAACUGUCAGGCUAGAAUGCAGGAGAAGAAGGUAGAAUUCCCGGUGUAGCGGUGAAAUGCGUAGAGAUCGGGAGGAAUACCAGUUGCGAAGGCGGCCUUCUGGACUGACACUGACGCUGAGGUGCGAAAGCGUGGGUAGCAAACAGGAUUAGAUACCCGUGUAGUC
RNAcentral lists this ribosomal RNA (465 nucleotides) under Vreelandella stevensii. Its description in RNAcentral is "partial 16S ribosomal RNA". It matches the Rfam family "Bacterial small subunit ribosomal RNA", at positions 338 to 795 of the family's 1533-position model. The record is from RNAcentral. Lineage: Bacteria; Pseudomonadati; Pseudomonadota; Gammaproteobacteria; Oceanospirillales; Halomonadaceae.